GGGGGAUAGAACAUCAGCUUGCCAGAGGCUUCCUUCCUGAGGUCAAUUAGGAAGGUGGAGUGAACCAUGGGGACGGGGAAGCAGCCCAACCUCUUCCAUUCUCUAAUCUGAAGUUCGAAGGGCUGCCUGCCGCAGUUUCAUCACAUGGGCAAACCGGGAGCCUGGCCAAUGCUUUGGUCCAAUUUCAUCAGGGCUUCGUGGCAGAUGAACAAAUUCUCCAGAUGUGGUUGGAGGUCCAUGCACAGCGGUCUUUGAUCUCCUGCCCUGUUCCAGGGGAAGAGCAGCGCUGACCACACCAGCCCACUGAGGAAGACUUGCCAUCCCCCCUCAAGACAAACUGCUCUGUCCCUCCACGCCCCUGGCACAGGCGAAUCAACAGAAACCCAGGGAGACACUCUAACUGCUGCCUUUUUCAUCCCUCUGACCAAAAAUGCGUUUCCGUUCGAAUCCACAAUCACGAAAGCACACGGGUGCUGGUCUACACAGAGGGCU
Acinonyx jubatus (cheetah) is the source of this 492-nucleotide long non-coding RNA. RefSeq lists it as uncharacterized. Lineage: Eukaryota; Metazoa; Chordata; Mammalia; Carnivora; Felidae. The record is from RefSeq and is a predicted model, not a curated record. The transcript has 3 exons.